CUCCUACGGGAGGCAGCAGUGGGGAAUAUUGGACAAUGGGCGAAAGCCUGAUCCAGCCAUGCCGCGUGGGUGAAGAAGGCCCUAGGGUUGUAAACCCCUUUCAGCGGGGAAGAUAAUGACGGUACCACUAGAGGAAGCCCCGGCCAACUCCGUGCCAGCAGCCGCGGUAAUACGGAGGGGGCUAGCGUUAUUCGGAAUUAUUGGGCGUAAAGGGCGUGUAGGCGGCUUCGCCAGUCCCAUGUGAAAGCCCUCGGCUCAACCGGGGAACUGCAUGGGAAACUGCGGAGCUUGAGUCCGGGAGAGGAGAGUGGAAUUCCCAGUGUAGCGGUGAAAUGCGUAGAUAUUGGGAGGAACACCAGUGGCGAAGGCGGCUCUCUGGACCGGCACUGACGCUGAAACGCGAAAGCCAGGGGAGCAAACGGGAUUAGAUACCCCGGUAGUCCUGGCUGUAAACGAUGAGCACUUGGUGUGGCGGGUAUCGACCCCUGCCGUGCCGAAGCUAACGCAUUAAGUGCUCCGCCUGGGGAGUACGGCCGCAAGGCUGAAACUCAAAGGAAUUGACGG
Molecule: ribosomal RNA, 564 nt
Filed under: uncultured bacterium
Lineage: Bacteria
Description: bacterial SSU rRNA
Rfam family: Bacterial small subunit ribosomal RNA
Source: RNAcentral